This 84-nucleotide non-coding RNA is filed under the name Clostridium neonatale. RNAcentral describes it as "c-di-GMP-I riboswitch aptamer". It matches the Rfam family "c-di-GMP-I riboswitch aptamer". Rfam says of the family: GEMM was predicted in a large-scale screen for bacterial structured RNA regulatory elements. The record is from Rfam by way of RNAcentral. Lineage: Bacteria; Bacillati; Bacillota; Clostridia; Eubacteriales; Clostridiaceae.
AAAUAUUAAUAGCAAAGCAAGAGAAAUUUUGUGACGCAAAGCUAUAGGGACUACGGUUUAAUACUAAGUCAGCCAGUUGCUAAG